UCCAACACGGGCUCCGGCCUCGGAGAAACGGGAAAGGGCAAAAAAGCCCCCGGCGCGUCCCCCUCUGAAAGCCGGCGCCUUUCCCGGCCCGGGCCGGGCCGCGGGGAGCCCGGAGGACGCUUCCGUCGCCGUUACCCACCCUGCCCCAACGCGGGGCGAGGACCGGAAACGCCAGCGUCCGGGCAGCGUUCAAACAACAGAGGAAAGCUCGCUCUUGGGCGUCCCAACGUUCCCAAGCUGCAAAAGCGAACGAUCACCUUGAAAAUCGUACGCUUGGUACGUGCCACAGUUCCUGCCACGGCCAUCUUGGUACCAGCGGAUAUCGAGGGCCCGCGUGCGUCACGUCACCGGGGCUUGUGUGCAUCACCGAUGGGACUUGUGUGUGUCCCAUCACCGAUGGGCCUCGCGUGCGUCACGUCACUGGGGCUUGUGUGCAUCACCGAUGGGACUUGUGUGUGUCCCAUCACCGAUGGGCCUCGCGUGCAUCACCGAUGGGCCUCGCGUGCGUCACGUCACUGGGGCUUGUGUGCAUCACCGAUGGGACUUGUGUGUGUCCCAUCACCGAUGGGCCUCGCGUGCAUCACCGAUGGGCCUCGCGUGCGUCACGUCACUGGGGCUUGUGUGCAUCACCGAUGGG
Molecule: long non-coding RNA, 637 nt
Filed under: Struthio camelus australis
Lineage: Eukaryota; Metazoa; Chordata; Aves; Struthioniformes; Struthionidae
Description: lncRNA (ENSSCUG00000004220.1)
Source: RNAcentral